UACCCAGCAACUCCUAUCCCUACCUCCACGCGGGACCGGCCGGAAACUAUGAGCAACCUUAGGGAAGAUCGGGUAACCAACCCUGGUGGGAACUUUGGUCGUAGGCUGACAGGAAAGG
Aedes albopictus (Asian tiger mosquito) is the source of this 118-nucleotide non-coding RNA. The record is from Rfam. NCBI's taxonomy places the organism in Eukaryota, Metazoa, Arthropoda, Insecta, Diptera, Culicidae.